GUGGGGAAUUUUGGACAAUGGGCGCAAGCCUGAUCCAGCAAUGCCGCGUGUGUGAAGAAGGCCUUCGGGUUGUAAAGCACUUUUGUCCGGAAAGAAAUCUCCUGGGUUAAUACCUCGGGGGGAUGACGGUACCGGAAGAAUAAGCACCGGCUAACUACGUGCCAGCAGCCGCGGUAAUACGUAGGGUGCGAGCGUUAAUCGGAAUUACUGGGCGUAAAGCGUGCGCAGGCGGCUAUGCAAGACAGAUGUGAAAUCCCCGGGCUCAACCUGGGAAAUGCAUUUGUGACUGCAUGGCUAGAGUGCGUCAGAGGGAGGUGGAAUUCCGCGUGUAGCAGUGAAAUGCGUAGAGAUGCGGAGGAACACCGAUGGCGAAGGCAGCCUCCUGGGAUGACACUGACGCUCAUGCACGAAAGCGUGGGGAGCAAACAGGAUUAGAAACCCUGGUAGUCC
This 450-nucleotide ribosomal RNA is filed under the name uncultured bacterium. Its description in RNAcentral is "partial 16S ribosomal RNA". It matches the Rfam family "Bacterial small subunit ribosomal RNA", at positions 354 to 796 of the family's 1533-position model. The record is from RNAcentral.